Molecule: long non-coding RNA, 2397 nt
Organism: Sapajus apella (tufted capuchin)
Lineage: Eukaryota; Metazoa; Chordata; Mammalia; Primates; Cebidae
Exons: 2
Source: RefSeq, a predicted model, not a curated record
AAAAGCUGAGCAAGGUGGUGGGUGCCCUUAGUCCCAGUUACUUGGAAGGUAAAUUACUAUUUACAUAAUUUAUUGUAGCAUAUUCUGCUUCUUUCCCAGAGCUGUGAAAUCUCUGCUAUAUCAGUACUGGCUAAAUUAGGUAUUAAAUGAUUGAGCUUCAAAUGGGCACAUCAAGACUGCGGACUACAUUCCUCCUUGCCUGGCGGCUGGGAAGUUUCUUAAGGCCUGUGUGUUUCUAUCAGACUGGUCUUGAAGGCGGUGGCUCUCCGGAUCUCCACAGAGCGUCAACGUUGGCUUAAAAAAAACGCCAAAGCUAGAUUGUCCAAAAGGUCUGCGCAGCUGCCAAGACUUCAGAUUAAAGGUGCUCCGGGGACUCCGAUCUCCUGGGCACCCUCGGCCGGGACAAUUUUGAUUAAGCGCUACCUCCUGGCGGCAGCUCUACUGCCCGACGCCUUCCCAGCCUAGUGGGGCCCAUUUUUUUUUUGGUUUGGAAUCUGGAAGCUGAUGCAACAGCUCCCCCAAGGGGGCGGGGCGGGGAGUAGGGAACUCAGGGUGGAAGAGACGGCCUUCCGGGAGAGCCCUCCUCUGGUUCCAAGCAGGCACCUCCCCUCGCCCGAUCCUCACCGCCGAAGGGACUUCCCGGUCUGGGCACCCUACCCAGAUUCAGCCAAGCAUCUUGGGGCCAGAGGCAGCUGUGGCCAGGGGUUGGGGCUCUCGCCCAGGCCCUUGUCGGGCCGCCAGCAUAAGCCGGGAUUGGGAGGGAGGGAAACGGAAGCUUAGCGUUCUUGGGGUGGGGUGGAGGACCAGUCUCUAAAGGUAUCCGCGGUCAUUUUCAUAUCCCCGCAGCAAUCCAGCUCUACAGGAGCGACCGGCGGGCAGGGGAGCGGAUUCAAGGCCUCGGUGCUUGGACCUUUGCUCCCUUCACCUACACCCACCACAACCCCCUCUUCUAGCGCUUCCUAGAGUCGGGGGAAGGACGGGGGCAGCUUGGCCAGGUGGAGGAAGCGGAAGGGACCCCUGGUGGGGUGAGGUCCUGGUACCCCAAGGCAGAGUUCGGGUGGGUCCCCACAGCCAGACCUGGGCCUCGGCGGCGACCCUGUUCUUCAGAGGGUUAUUGAAGGCGGACGGUAGCUGGGUCUGGGCUUGGGAGGGCGUUGUCGUAGGGUUGCAGACUGGGGGCCGAGAAGGAGGGAAAUAAAAGGGAAAAGGCAGGGGCCCCGAGAAAGCAAGGGUGAAUUGGGGGGUGGGGAUGGGAGAAAGGGGCAAAGGUGAGACCUGCAGGUUGCGCGGGGGCGGAGAGGGGGAUGGGAACGACUCUGGGAUCGGCCAGUGAGGAUCAUGGGUUAGGGGAGAGCUUUUCGGGGGAAGGGCCAAUGGCGUGCGUGUGGUGUGGAGUUGAGUUUAUGCUUCGAAGUUCGGCUGUUGAGCCCACUUGGAUAUACCUGAACCUGAGUGUUCGCCUCCCUCUGCCUUUUCCUUUUCUGACCUUCACCCUUUCGCGAUCAUAGCACUUCGCUCUCGCCUUCUCCACGCCGCGCCCAGACCUGUCACCUGAGCCUGGGUGUAAGGCAGAGCAGACAAGAAUUUCCCGGAUCCAGGGCAAGAGUGUUAGAUUAUAGGCUUUUUGUUUUACUUUGCUUUUCCCAUUAAUGAAACAAAAGCCCGUUUCAAAUCAUUCUAGGCCUCCCAGUAAAACUAUGAAAACCAUGCUUUCCUCUUUCCCUUUAAUGCAUUACUAUCAAAAAGAUUACCUUCCAGUACUCCUUGCUUGAGAACCAGAGCCGCAGCCACACAGGAGGGCCUGGAGAGCAAAUUCAAGGACAUGCCUAGGAGCCCAGCCAGCUGGGAAAUCAAAUAAAUAACAGUUCAUUCAUCCAUUUAUUAACCCAGCAAACAUUUAUUAACUGUCUACCUGAGCCCUGCACUGUGGGGAUACAGAGGUGAACAAAGCUCUUGUGAUGCUUAUAUUCUAGUGGGGGUGGUGACAGCAAACAAAUGACGCCGGGAAUGGACAACAUCACUGGGAAGUAUUUUCCAGGCAGGGAGAACAGGAAUUGCAAAAGCUUUGAGGCCAGAUCAUGCUUGCUAUGUGGCCACAGCAGGGAAGCCAGUGAAGCUGGAGUGGAGUGAGGAAGACAGCAGGGGGGCCCAUGUGGAUGAGGACAGCUUCUCUCCUCCUAGGACUUUCCUCACAACUUGGACCUGACCCCAGAGUGCAAUUAGGGGCAGGAAAGUUGGGUAGCAGGCUGAGAGUGUCUAAAGGACUCUACAUUAUCCUUUAUUUAUUUAUUUAUUUUUACGGUGCGCUACAUGUUCAGAGAAACUUCUCUAGUAACAAACUAUAGAAAUGAUCCCUGAAAGUAUAGUCUUUUUUUUUUUUAAUUUAUUUUUUUUAAA